UUCGGAAGCAAUUACAGCUGAAUUCAACAAUGAAAAUUUGAAAGGGACAGAGAUGAAACAAACUCGACCCCGAACAACACUCUAAACAAUAGUAGAGACAAAUUCGAAUAACCAAAUAAAGCAGAGAUGAAAGAUGGAGCUCAGCAAAACAGAAUCAACAAAACAUAACUUUAGUUUCUGAAAUCGAAAUCAAAACUCUAACACCCAGAAAUUGGGGAGAUAAAGCGGCAGAAAUCAGCAGAACUUUUGAAACACCUUGCUUCCCCAAUUUUCUUCUAAUUUUGAAACCUCUUUUGUCAUUUUCAGCUCUCAAAAUCUUUCAGAACUUCCAAUUUUUCUUGCUUUUUCCAUUUGUUGCUGAAGGUUUUUGUGUGUGUCUGUAUUUUUCGGGUAUGUGUUCUCUGUUAUGUUGAGCGAGAGAUGGGGAAGAAGAUAAGGGGAAACAACAUUUUUGCUUUUUUAGAGAGGCGGGAGGUCUAUUUUUUGUCUUCGCUAGAGAUGAGGAAGAAGAAGCCAGAAACGACGCUUAGGGUUGUAGUGGGGAGGGAUCUCAUCUAG
Molecule: long non-coding RNA, 558 nt
Filed under: Nicotiana benthamiana
Lineage: Eukaryota; Viridiplantae; Streptophyta; Magnoliopsida; Solanales; Solanaceae
Description: long non-coding RNA (NBEN_LNC034872)
Source: RNAcentral